Molecule: ribosomal RNA, 259 nt
Filed under: uncultured Gardnerella sp.
Lineage: Bacteria; Bacillati; Actinomycetota; Actinomycetes; Bifidobacteriales; Bifidobacteriaceae
Description: partial 16S ribosomal RNA
Rfam family: Bacterial small subunit ribosomal RNA
Source: RNAcentral
UGGCGAACGGGUGAGUAAUGCGUGACCAACCUGCCCCAUGCUCCAGAAUAGCUCUUGGAAACGGGUGGUAAUGCUGGAUGCUCCAACUUGACGAAUGUCUUGUUGGGAAAGUGUUUAGUGGCAUGGGAUGGGGUCGCGUCCUAUCAGCUUGUAGGCGGGGUAAUGGCCCACCUAGGCUUCGACGGGUAGCCGGCCUGAGAGGGCGGACGGCCACAUUGGGACUGAGAUACGGCCCGGACUCCUACGGGAGGCAGCAGCG